This 2720-nucleotide long non-coding RNA is filed under the name Canis lupus familiaris (dog). Its description in RNAcentral is "lncRNA (ENSCAFG00000052515.1)". Lineage: Eukaryota; Metazoa; Chordata; Mammalia; Carnivora; Canidae. The record is from RNAcentral.
UUUUUUUUUUUUUUUCCUUCUUUCUCAGAGAUUGGGGGUAGACGGGGAAAUCACCACAGGGAGUAGAAAAGGAGAAAACUCAGAGACUGCACUCACUAUAUUUCCUUUCCACUCAUCAACCCCUCACUCCUCAACCCCAACAGCUUUGAGACUGCUCUAGUAAGAGUCACCAGGGACCUUCUUGGAACCCAACAAACAUUUUUCUCAACAUCAGGACACUGUUCCUGAGCUGUCCUCUUCUCAUCAAAUCUCUACCACUUGUCAGGCCCUUGUCUUCCAGCAGCCUCCUACCUGGUCUUCUCCAUUGUGACCCCUCCCCAAUCCUUUCCCUGCACUUUAGCCAGAGUGUUUAUCCUAACGAGUAAAUCUAUCCACCUCUUCCCUAGAGCCUUUACAUGAACUUCUAUGAACCUUAGCUCUGGAGAAUCUGGUCUGUCUGUCCAUCUUCAGGAUCAUCUAUUGCUAUGCUAACCCACCCAAACUCCCUUGCACUUUCUUGCCUUUACUCCCCCUGUUCUCUCCACCUGGAAGACCUCACCCUCCCUCCUCACCCUUCACCAUAUCAUCUGCCUCACUUAUAAAUCUUUGAAACUCAAGACAAGUCUCCUUUCCACCCAUCACAUACCUUCUUUUGUCAUCAGCACAACUCCUGAUCAUUCUUAAGGACUGCACUAUUUGUGUGAUGGUCUAUAUCCUCUUUAGGCUGUACACUCCUCAAAGGUGGACAUUGUUCUUACCUUUGUACCACCACGCAUCACAGUGACCAACAAAAUCCUGCUUAAGUGAAUUAAUGAAUUGUGCAAAUAAUCAUUGCUCACUUCAUAGUGUGACAGGACUGCAUUGUCAUCUUUUCUACUGUAAUCUCUUACUCUUUCUACAAGGGAAGAAAGUAAAUGUGUCAUAUCCUUGUUCCUUAGACUCUGUCUUUUAAUAUUUCUUGGUCUUGUCAUAAUUACUAUAUUUUCCACCUGAUAUUUAACUAAUCAAAAACUUUACGAGUAAACUUACAAGUAAAUUAAAGCUAUUUGAUCUUGUUCCACGUACUGUGGGUGUAAACGGAUAGCCAUAGGUUAAAAUCCUGGCUCGACCAGUAACUAGCUGUAGACUUUAAAUAAGUCAUUCAAUCCCAAGUUUGGUUUUCACUCUAAAAUAAGGGUAAAAAAAUCUACCCCCCUGGCUUUCUUGUGAGGCUAAAGGAACAAAUGUACACAAAGCACUUAUGCACAUUGCCUAAUACAAAUAAGUAUGCAGUAAGUAUUAUCUAUUAUUAUUAAUGCACAAUUAAGACACUUGUGCACUUUGCAGACUUCAUCAUUCAUUGAAGUGCUCCCUGUACUUUUCAAAACUGAGGGUCACAUUGGUCUUAAGAUAAAAGCCUUAAUAACAAGAAAGAUAUUAUAUACAUAUAUGUAUAUCAAAUGAAAAACCCUAAAACGUGUGCUUGUAUUAUACAUAUAUAAUAAAACCUUAUAUAUAAAAUAAAAUGUAUGCUUAUUUAUAUAUAUAUGUACAUAUAUAUAAACAAACAGUAUUAAUACCUUGCUUAUUUUAUAACUGAAAAAAAAUGUGAACUCUGGUAGUUAAAUGAAAAAUAAACAGAUUCCACUCAGUAAAUGCUAGAAUUUUCACAAUGGAAUCUACAUCAUUUAUUAAAUACACAUUAAUCAUAUAUGUUAUUCUGGUGAAAUAUGCUUUAAGUACAUAACAUGAAAAAUCCAAUACCACAAACUUAACCUUUGCAAUUGCUAUUUUCUGUGCUUAAUAUUGCAAUUCAAAUCUGGUUAAGUUUUAAGUGAUGGUUUUGAAGAAUGCAAUUAAGAACGAAAAAAUUAAAAUGAAGGGAAACAAAAAUUCAUUAGCUACAACUGUAUGAGGAGACUAGCACGGCUUUUGGAAAUAUGAAGACAAGACCUCUGGAAUUUAUUCCCGAUCUUUAUUUAUAUUACAGGGAUAUUAUAUACUUGUAUUUAAAAAUCAUUACUCUAAAAGGGAAGAGUCUGUUUGCUUUAUCUCUGAAACUUACUUUCUCUCUCCCAAUUGCCCCCCAAAAAGGAAAACCAAUUGUGAGCCACUUUAUUCAAAAAGAAGAAUCUCAUGACAAUAGGAUUAUUAUGACAAGCAUUUCCCAUACUUUAUUCUUCAUGCCCAGAAUGACAUUGGUAAGAUAAGACAUUUUAAAAGUCAAUAGCACUUAUUUUGAAGUUUAAAUAUCAUGUUAAAAAAAAGUCAUUUCCUUAAACAGGAAAUGUAUUAAUAAUGGCACAAAAGACAGUACCAGUCAUACUAUAGAGUACAAUGUUUCCCUUCAAAAAAGAAAAUAAUACCCUUAUCCUCAAAGGGUACUAAUUCUUGAACAGUCAUUUAAAAAAUAAAUACAGAGGGGGAAAUCUUGACACCCUUUGCUUCACAUUCGCAUAUAUUUUGUUGCGUUCUGAUCACGUGAUUAACUAAAGAUUUAAGUUGAGGCCAUAAAAAAUUUAAAGUUGCAACAAUAUUGUCUAGUUCUCACCAAUCAAAUAAGUUCUCUUUGCUUUAUACAUAUAUUUUUACACCAAUAUUUGCAAAACUAUCGUAUUUUUGCAGUUGGUUCAUUCUGUUCAGCAUUAUUCCCCCAGAAAGCUUGGCAAAGAAUGACUUAUUAAAAUACAUUUUUAGAGACUCCUAAGGUUUUUAGCUUUACUUAUAGGAUAGGAAUUUAAGAUGAAAGCAUUUGGUGCAUU